Molecule: ribosomal RNA, 301 nt
Filed under: uncultured bacterium
Lineage: Bacteria
Description: partial 16S ribosomal RNA
Rfam family: Bacterial small subunit ribosomal RNA
Source: RNAcentral
CAGUCGCCGCGGUAAUACGUAGGUCCCGAGCGUUGUCCGGAUUUAUUGGGCGUAAAGCGAGCGCAGGCGGUUAGAUAAGUCUGAAGUUAAAGGCUGUGGCUUAACCAUAGUACGCUUUGGAAACUGUUUAACUUGAGUGCAAGAGGGGAGAGUGGGAUUCCAUGUGUAGCGGUGAAAUGCGUAGAUAUAUGGAGGAACACCGGUGGCGAAAGCGGCUCUCUGGCUUGUAACUGACGCUGAGGCUCGAAAGCGUGGGGAGCAAACAGGAUUAGAUACCCGAGUAGUCCCUGUCUCUUAUACC